GAAAUAAUAAAAAUAGAACUUCUAAUUCUAAAAAAAAUGUUUAAUCAUUUAUAUUUCU
This 58-nucleotide transfer RNA is filed under the name Andrena minutula. Its description in RNAcentral is "tRNA-Ser". Lineage: Eukaryota; Metazoa; Arthropoda; Insecta; Hymenoptera; Andrenidae. The record is from RNAcentral.